This 405-nucleotide ribosomal RNA is filed under the name uncultured rumen bacterium. RNAcentral's name for it is "bacterial SSU rRNA". It matches the Rfam family "Bacterial small subunit ribosomal RNA", at positions 354 to 776 of the family's 1533-position model. The record is from RNAcentral.
GUGGGGAAUAUUGGACAAUGGGGGAAACCCUGAUCCAGCGACGCCGCGUGAGUGAAGAAGUAUUUCGGUAUGUAAAGCUCUAUCAGCAAGGAAGAAAAUGACGGUACUUGACUAAGAAGCUCCGGCUAAAUACGUGCCAGCAGCCGCGGUAAUACGUAUGGAGCAAGCGUUAUCCGGAUUUACUGGGUGUAAAGGGAGCGUAGACGGCAUAGCAAGUCUGAAGUGAAAUCCCGGGGCUCAACCCCGGAACUGCUUUGGAAACUGUUAAGCUGGAGUGCAGGAGAGGUAAGCGGAAUUCCUAGUGUAGCGGUGAAAUGCGUAGAUAUUAGGAGGAACACCAGUGGCGAAGGCGGCUUACUGGACUGUAACUGACGUUGAGGCUCGAAAGCGUGGGGAGCAAACAGG